RNAcentral lists this ribosomal RNA (253 nucleotides) under uncultured bacterium. RNAcentral's name for it is "partial 16S ribosomal RNA". It matches the Rfam family "Bacterial small subunit ribosomal RNA", at positions 524 to 776 of the family's 1533-position model. The record is from RNAcentral.
UACGUAGGGGGCAAGCGUUGUCCGGAAUCAUUGGGCGUAAAGCGCGUGUAGGCGGCCCAGUAAGUCCGCUCUGAAAGCCCGGGGCUCAACCCCGGGAGGCGGGUGGAUACUGCUGGGCUAGAGUACGGAAGAGGCGAGUGGAAUUCCCGGUGUAGCGGUGAAAUGCGCAGAUAUCGGGAGGAACACCAAUGGCGAAGGCAGCUCGCUGGGACGUUACUGACGCUGAGACGCGAAAGCGUGGGGAGCAAACAGG